ACUGCCUUCGAAACGGGCAGGCUUGAGCCUUUUAGAGGGAGGUAGAAUUUCAGGUGUAGCGGUGAAACGCGUAAAGAUGUAGAGGAAUACAGGUGGCGAAGGCGGCCCCAUGGAAAAAGACUGACGAUCAGGUGCGAAAGCGUGGGGAGCAAAUAGGAUUAGACACCCAGGUAGUCCACGCCGUAAACGAUGUAUACGUGGAGGUUGUGCCCUUGAGGCGUGGCUUCCGGAACUAACGUGUUAAGUAGACCGCCUGGG
RNAcentral lists this ribosomal RNA (258 nucleotides) under Salmonella enterica subsp. enterica serovar Enteritidis. RNAcentral describes it as "partial 16S ribosomal RNA". It matches the Rfam family "Bacterial small subunit ribosomal RNA", at positions 620 to 877 of the family's 1533-position model. The record is from RNAcentral. Lineage: Bacteria; Pseudomonadati; Pseudomonadota; Gammaproteobacteria; Enterobacterales; Enterobacteriaceae.